Cygnus olor (mute swan) is the source of this 343-nucleotide long non-coding RNA. RefSeq lists it as uncharacterized. The transcript has 3 exons. Lineage: Eukaryota; Metazoa; Chordata; Aves; Anseriformes; Anatidae. The record is from RefSeq and is a predicted model, not a curated record.
GGGGCUCAUUAUUCAGCCUUUUGAAAUUGAUUACUAUGUUUAAGAGGAAUUGGAAACUGUAUUUCACUGGACUUCCUCUUUUGGAAACAGGAAAGAAAAAAAAUAAACCCUGGAUUAUAGAUUAAAUUCAAAGCUGUAGAGAGCCAACUCUGGGAGAAUUCUAAAGGGAGUUAUCGUUGCUUCCUGUAACUACUGCAAAUGGAUAAGCACCAUGGAGGGGAAAGAAUUAUAUAAGAUCCUGUUUCCUGAGCCGCAUUAGAAUUCCGAAGACAUGACUUGGGACUAGUAUCUGUGAAAUAAAUUGGAGUACUCCUAUAAAGGCUGUUUUAAGACUGAAAUUUGC